RNAcentral lists this ribosomal RNA (253 nucleotides) under uncultured bacterium. RNAcentral's name for it is "partial 16S ribosomal RNA". It matches the Rfam family "Bacterial small subunit ribosomal RNA", at positions 524 to 776 of the family's 1533-position model. The record is from RNAcentral.
UACAGAGGUCUCGAGCGUUAGGCGGAAUCACUGGGCUUAAAGCGUGUGUAGGCGGAUCGGUAAGUACCUUGUGAAAUUCCACGGCUUAACCGUGGAACUGCUUGGUAUACUGCCAGUCUUGAGCCAUCUAGGGGCUACCGGAACAAAUGGUGGAGCGGUGAAAUGCGUAGAUAUCGCUUGGAACGCCGAAGGUGAAAACAGGCUGCUGGGGUUGCGCCGACGCUGAGACACGAAAGCCAGGGGAGCAAACGGG